This 199-nucleotide long non-coding RNA is filed under the name Lathyrus oleraceus (garden pea). RNAcentral's name for it is "Pisum sativum (pea) long non-coding RNA (PSAT_LNC019404)". The record is from RNAcentral. Lineage: Eukaryota; Viridiplantae; Streptophyta; Magnoliopsida; Fabales; Fabaceae.
UUUUUUUCUGAGAUUCACUGGCACUCCCAUCUCUUGAUUUAAAAAUGGGAUCAGAUUUAUGAUUCCAAUAAUUAACUCCUACAUAUUUGUUAGUGACAAAAGUUCUAACGUAAUUUAUGAUAUUUCUAAAUUUCAAAAAACAUUUAUGAAUGAAACAUUAAUCUUUUUCGCCUCGUGUGUUCAUUUACUCAUGUUCGAU